Long non-coding RNA from Coturnix japonica (Japanese quail), 3109 nucleotides. NCBI's taxonomy places the organism in Eukaryota, Metazoa, Chordata, Aves, Galliformes, Phasianidae. The record is from Ensembl.
UAAGGGGCUAUGGGGUGGUUAUGGGGUGUGUAUGGGGUGGCUAUGGGGUGAAUAUGGGGGGUAUGUGCUCAGGGAGGAGCUAUGGGGUGGGUAUGGGGUGAAUAUGGGGUGGGUAUGGGGUGAAUAUGGGGUGGGUAUGGGGUCAGGGAGGGGCUGUGGGGUAUGGGGUGGUUAUGGGGUGGCUAUGGGGGUAGGGAAGGGCUAUAGGGUGGGUAUGGGGUGGUUAUGGGGUGGUUAUGGGGUGGCUAUGGGGUCGGGAAGGGGCUGUGGGGUGGGUAUAGGGUCACAGGCUGUGGGGUGGCUAUGGGGUGGCUAUGGGUUGGGGAUGGGGUGGUUAUGGGGUGAACAUGGGGUGGCUAUGGGGGCAGGGAGGGGCUAUGGGGUGGGUAUGGGGUGAAUAUGGGGUGGGUAUAGGGUCAGGGAGGGGCCGUGGGGUGGCUAUGGGGUUGGUAUGGGGUGGGUCUUGCUGUGGGUCUCUAUGUGUCUCUAUGGGUUCCUAUGGGUCUCUAUGUCUCUCUGUGUGUCUCUAUGGGUCUCUGUGUCUUGCUAUAGGUCCUUAUAUCUUGCUAUGGGUCUCUAUGGGUCGCUAUGGGUCUCUAUGGGUCUCUAUUGGUCUCUAUGUGUGUCUAUGGGUUGCUAUGGGUCGCUGUGGGUUUUUCUAUGGGUCAAUGUCUCUCUAUGGGUCGCUGUGUCUCCUUAUGUAUCUCAGUGUCUCUCUAUGUGUCUCUAUGGGGUCUCAGUGUCUCCCUAUGGGUCCCUAUGUCUCUCUAUGGGGUUACUAUGGGUCCCAAUGUGUCCCUAUGUGUCUCUAUGGGUCUCAAUGUCUCCCUAUGGGUCUCUAUGGGUCCUUAUGUCUCUCUAUGGGUCCCUAUGUCUUUCUAUGGGGUCUCUAUGGGUCGCUAUGGUUCCCAAUGUGUAUCUAUGGGUCCCUAUGCGUCUCUAUGUCUCUCUAUGGGUCUCAAUGUCUCUCUAUGUGCCCAUAUGGGUCUCGCUAUGGGUCACUAUGGGUCUCUGUGUCUCUCUAUGGGUCCCUAUGUGUCCCUAUGUCUCUCUAUGUGUCCCUAUGUGUCUCUAUGGGUCUCAAUGUCUCUCUAUGGGUCUCAAUGUCUCUCUAUGGGUCUCUAUGUGUCCCUAUGGGUCUCAAUGUCUCUCUAUGGGUCUCUAUGUGUCCCUAUGGGUCUCACUGUGUCCCUAUGUCUCUCUAUGGGUCUCUAUGUGUCCCUAUGGGUCUCUAUGUGUCCCUAUGGGUCUCUAUGUGUCCCUAUGUCUCUCUAUGUGUCCCUAUGGGUCUCAAUGUCUCUCUAUGGGUCUCAAUGUGUCCCUAUGGGUCUCUAUGUGUCCCUAUGUCUCUCUCUGUGUCCCUAUGGGUCUCAAUGUCUCUCUAUGGGUCUCAAUGUGUCCCUAUGGGUCUCUAUGUGUCCCUAUGUCUCUCUCUGUGUCCCUAUGCGUCUCUAUGGGUCUCAAUGUCUCCCUAUGUCUCUCUAUGUGUCCCUAUGGGUCUCAAUGUCUCUAUCUCUCUAUGUGUCCCUAUGGGUCACUAUGGGUCUCUGUGUCUCUCUAUGGGUCCCUAUGUGUCCCUAUGUCUCUCUAUGUGUCCCUAUGGGUCUCACUGUGUCCCUAUGUCUCUCAAUGUGUCCCUAUGGGUCUCAGUGUGUCCCUAUGUGUCCCUAUGGGUCCCUAUGUGUCCUUAUGUCUCUCUAUGGGUCUCACUGUGUCCCUAUGGGUCUCACUGUGUCCCUAUGUGUCUCCAUGUGUCUCUAUGGGUCUCUAUGUGUCCCUAUGGGUCCCUAUGGGUCUCAAUGUCUCUCUAUGGGUCUCACUGUGUCCCUAUGUGUCUCUAUGUGUCCCUAUGGGUCUCACUGUGUCCCUAUGUCUCUCUAUGGGUCUCACUGUGUCCCUAUGUGUCCCUAUGGGUCGCUAUGGGUCCCAGUCCCCCCGCAGUCCGUGUCCAUCUCGUUGUCCCCCCGCUCCCCCCGUCCCGGUUCGUUGUUGGAACUGACCUGCAGCGCCGGCAGCGCCCGACCAGCCCCCACCCUGCAAUGGGACAUCGACGGGACCACGUGGGUACAGCCCCACAGCGCCCCAUAGAGACCCAUAUACCCCCAUACAGCCCCAUAGCGCCCCAUAGAGACACGUACAGCCCCAUAUAACCCCAUACAGCCCCAUAGAGACCCAUAGAGCCCCAUAUAACCCCAUAGAGCCCCAUAGAGACCCAUACAGCCCCAUAGUGCCCCAUAUAGCCCCAUAUAACCCCAUACAGCCCCACAGCACCCCAUAGCAACCCACAGAGCCCCAUAGAGACACGUACAGCCCCAUAUAACCCCAUACAGCCCCAUAGCGCCCCAUAGAGACACAUACAGCCCCAUAUAACCCCAUACAGCCCCAUAGAGACACAUAGAGCCCCAUAUAACCCCAUACAGCCCCAUAGAGAUACAUACAGCACCAUAUAACCCCAUACAGCCCCAUAGUGCCCCAUAAAGACCCAUAUAGCCCCAUAUAACCCCAUACAGCCCUAUAGUGGCCCAUAUAGCCCCAUAUAGCCCCAUAUAACCCCAUACAGCCCUAUAGUGCCCCAUAGAGACACAUACAGCCCCAUAUAACCCCAUACAGCCCUAUAGUGCCCCAUAGAGACACAUACAGCCCCAUAUAACCCCAUACAGCCCCAUAGUGCCCCAUAGAGACCCAUAUAGCCCCAUAUAACCCCAUAUAGCCCAAUAGCGCCCCAUAGAGACCCAUACAGCCCCACAGCACCUCAUAGCGACCCACAGCGCUCCAUAGAGACACAUACAGCCCCAUAGCGCCCCAUAGAGACACAUACAGCCCCAUAUAACCCCAUACAGCCCCAUAGCAUCCCAUUGGGCCCAUAGCAUCCCAUAGCGCCCCAUAGCAUUCCCCCACUGUGCCCCAUAGCGCCCCAUAGUAUCCUAUUGUGCCCCAUAGCGCCCCAUAGAGCCCCAUUGUGCCCAAUAGAGCCCCAUAGAGCCCCAUAGAGCCCCAUUGCGCCCCAUAGAGCCCCAUAGAACCCCAUAGAGCACCAUAGGGCCCAUUGUGCCCCAUAGAGCCCCAUUGUGCCCCAUAGAGCCCCAUUGCGCCCCAUAGAGCCCCAUUG